GACGAACGCUGGCGGCGUGCUUAACACAUGCAAGUCGAACGGAAAGGCCCUGCUUGCAGGGUACUCGAGUGGCGAACGGGUGAGUAACACGUGGGUGAUCUGCCCUGCACUUCGGGAUAAGCCUGGGAAACUGGGUCUAAUACCGGAUAGGAGCCAUUUUUAGUGUGAUGGUUGGAAAGUUUUUUCGGUGUAGGAUGAGCUCGCGGCCUAUCAGCUUGUUGGUGGGGUAAUGGCCUACCAAGGCGGCGACGGGUAGCCGGCCUGAGAGGGUGGACGGCCACAUUGGGACUGAGAUACGGCCCAGACUCCUACGGGAGGCAGCAGUGGGGAAUAUUGCACAAUGGGCGCAAGCCUGAUGCAGCGACGCCGCGUGGGGGAUGACGGCCUUCGGGUUGUAAACUCCUUUCGCUAGGGACGAAGCUUUUGUGACGGUUCCUAGAUAAGAAGCACCGGCUAACUACGUG
This 464-nucleotide ribosomal RNA is filed under the name uncultured bacterium. RNAcentral describes it as "partial 16S ribosomal RNA". It matches the Rfam family "Bacterial small subunit ribosomal RNA", at positions 28 to 507 of the family's 1533-position model. The record is from RNAcentral.